AAAUGAUGAAAAAAUGUGAAACAAACUGCAUCUGGAAAAAUUGAAUAUGAUUACUUUUGGAAGAAGUCUCCCAAACUUGAGAAACUCCUAAUUUGAGGCUUUACGAAUGUAAAAGUUAAACUCAUUAGUUAUCCAUUUUCUAAAUAGAUAAUAUGGUUCUUAUCCAUAUUUGACCAAUUUUUAAAAAGUUCAUUACCCAACCUAUUUUUUAGUAUAUAAUAUAGGUGGAUAACUAUUUUCUUUUAACCAUUUUGCCACCACUAGUCAAUACAUGUACAUCAGUCUUUCCCUUUUCUAGUUGAUAAAUCAACGUUUAGAUACGUGGUCGGAAGUAGCCUUUAUGCUACGGGUUCAACUGAACUCAUAACCUUCGACACAAAGUAUAAAUUUAUAUGUAAAAAUCUAAACUCAACAAAUAUUAUAUAUGAACUCAUAAUUUAACAAUAUAAUCAAUUCAAUGCUGGAAAUCUUAAAAAAUUGAACUCGUUAAAUUUAAAUCUUAAAUCCGCAAAAACGGGCUUUUUCACACAUAAUAGAUAAAGGUGAUCUGAAAAGAAGAAAAAAGAAGAAGAUGUGGCAAGAGUUAAAAGAAGUACGAACCAAGCAUAAAUGCAUCCUUUUUCCUCGUGUCUGCGUUGCACAUGUUCAACAUAAGUCAUCUCCUGAUAUGAGGGUGCGUCCAUUUUUAUUCUAAGCUUAUUGCAGCUAAAGGCUUUUCAGAGAAGUAAUUUAUAAUAUACUGAGAGAGCUUUUGGUAUACCUUGAGUUGAGUGAACCACUUUAAUUCCUUGUAUGGUUUAUAAUACAGCUCACUUUGCAUAAGACAACAAACGAA
Molecule: long non-coding RNA, 835 nt
Filed under: Nicotiana tabacum (common tobacco)
Lineage: Eukaryota; Viridiplantae; Streptophyta; Magnoliopsida; Solanales; Solanaceae
Description: long non-coding RNA (NTAB_LNC007415)
Source: RNAcentral